GACGUAGGGCGCGAGCGUUGUCCGGAUUUAUUGGGCGUAAAGAGCUCGUAGGCGGCUUGUCGCGUCGACUGUGAAAACCCGCGGCUCAACUGCGGGCCUGCAGCCGAUACGGGCAGGCUAGAGUUCGGUAGGGGAGACUGGAAUUCCUGGUGUAGCGGUGAAAUGCGUAGAUAUCUGGAGGAACACCGGUGGCGAAGGCGGCAUCCUGGACCGACACUGACACUGAGGAGCGAAAGCCAGGGGAGCAAACGGG
RNAcentral lists this ribosomal RNA (253 nucleotides) under uncultured bacterium. RNAcentral describes it as "partial 16S ribosomal RNA". It matches the Rfam family "Bacterial small subunit ribosomal RNA", at positions 524 to 776 of the family's 1533-position model. The record is from RNAcentral.